Molecule: ribosomal RNA, 256 nt
Filed under: uncultured bacterium
Lineage: Bacteria
Description: partial 16S ribosomal RNA
Rfam family: Bacterial small subunit ribosomal RNA
Source: RNAcentral
GAUCCUGGCUCAGGAUGAACGCUAGCUACAGGCUUAACACAUGCAAGUCGAGGGGAAACGACAUCGAAAGCUUGCUUUUGAUGGGCGUCGACCGGCGCACGGGUGAGUAACGCGUAUCCAACCUGCCCAUCACUUGGGAAUAACCUUGCGAAAGUAAAGACUAAUACCCAACUGAUAUUCCCACCGAAGGGACGAUCCGAACUGGGAGUUAAAAGAAUUUAUUCGGUUGGAUGGAUGGGGAGUGCGUCUGAUUAGU